ACCCGAGCUCAUAUGCCCCAGGAAAAUGCCCCCUUUCAAAAUCGAUAUCCAACGGGGAAACUUUUAGUAAGAAUCGCACAAAAUGUUUUUUAACUUAUCGCGAUCGUUCUCUUCAGAAAUGAGCAAGUGAUACCGUGUUGUCUCCUUUUCCCCCGACGAUUUUACUCCCGACGGGAAUUGUGCUUGGACCUCUGAAGAAUCACCAACUGGAAACGAAAAGAAAUGGAAUAUCUACUACGAGCCUGCACCUUUCUCUACCUGGUGUUUCUAACGAGUGUUUCAAGUGACAAUGUGCUUCACAUUGGAGGUAUAUUCCCUAUCAACGGCAAGGGUGGAUGGCAAGGAGGUCAGGCUUGUGAGCCGGCGGCCAGUUUAGCCCUAGAAGAUGUCAACAAGAGGAAUGAUAUUCUUGCCGGGUAUACACUUCAGUUGCAUUGGAACGACAGCGAGUGUGAGCCGGGGCUUGCAGCGUCCGUAAUGUACAAUCUUUUGUACAACGACCCGCAGAAACUGAUGUUACUUGCAGGAUGUAGCACCGUCUGCACUACGGUCGCAGAGGCAGCCAAAAUGUGGAAUCUUGUCGUGCUUUGCUACGGGGCAAGUUCUCCCGCUCUGUCCGACAGAAACAGGUUCCCGACGUUAUUCCGCACACAUCCGUCCGCUACCGUCCAUAACCCGACGCGUAUCAAAUUGAUGAAGAAGUUCGGAUGGUCGAGGAUUGCAAUUUUGCAACAAGCAGAGGAAGUUUUCAUCUCUACUGUGGAAGAUUUAGAAAAUCGCUGCAAAGAGGCGGACAUCGAAAUCAUGACAAGGCAAAGUUUUCUAAGCGACCCGACUGAUGCCGUCCGUAACUUGCGUCGACAGGACGCAAGAAUCAUCGUCGGUUUGUUCUAUGUUGUGGCAGCACGGAAAGUCUUAUGCGAAAUCUAUAAAAAUCAACUCUACGGAAAACAAUACGUCUGGUUCUUCAUUGGUUGGUACGAGGAUAAUUGGUUCAAAGGCAAUUUUACUGACGACGGUGUCGACUGCUCGCCAAGGGAGAUGGAAAUCGCCGCCGAAGGACAUCUCACAACCGAGGCUCUAAUGUGGAAUCAGAACACAAAUCAACGCACCAUCUCUGGAAUGACUGUUGAUGACUUUCGCGUAAGGUUAGACGCAAAACUACGAGAGGGUAAAUAUAAUGAAUCACUAUCGAAAGGACUGUAUCCUGUGGGAUAUCAAGAAGCACCUCUUGCAUACGAUGCAGUUUGGGCUGUCGCUUUGGCUUUCAAUAAAACAAUGGAGAAAGCAUUAGAAAACAAAAGACGUCUAAAAGAUUUUACAUAUACUGAUAAAGCAAUUGCGGAUGAUAUAUACUCAGCAAUGAAUUCUACUAAGUUCCUAGGCAUCUCCGGAGAUGUCGCUUUCAGCUCGUACGGAGACAGAAUAGCAUUGACUCAAAUUGAACAGAUGAUUGGUCAAAAAUACGUAGUGUUGGGGUACUACGAGACUACCACUGACAACCUCACUUGGAUCAACAAGGAACAAUGGAUUGGUGGGAAGGUGCCGCAGGAUAGAACGAUCGUGAAGCGGGUACUUCGAACCCUCUCGAUUCCUCUAUGUAUUUGCAUGUGGACAAUCUCUAUCAUCGGAAUCCUGGUUGCCAUUUGCCUUAUUGCUUUCAACAUGUGCUACAGUCACAGGAGGGUAAUACAAACCUCCCACCCUAAGUGUAACACAAUCAUGCUUAUCGGGAUUGUCAUCUGUCUAUCAAGUGUGUUUCUCCUCGGAUUGGACGGGCAGUUCGUGUCCGAGGAUGUGUAUCCCUUCGUGUGCCAAGCCAGGGCCUGGUUUUUGUCCAUCGGAUUCACGCUUUCAUUCGGUGCCAUGUUCAGUAAAAUUUGGAGGGUCCACCGACUAACCACGAAAUCCAAGAGUGAACCGAAAAAGAAGAUCCAACCGUGGAAACUGUACAGGAUGGUAACCCUGCUUCUCCUCAUCGAUUUGUUCUUCCUCAUUCCAUGGCAAAUAUACGACCCACUCGCAAGGAGCCUCAUCGUUUUUCCCCUCGAAAAACCACUCUCGACGGACGACGAUAUCAGGAUAAGACCAGAGCUAGAACAUUGUGAAAGUGAAAAUCAUAUGCUUUGGCUUGGAUUGAUGGGAACUUACAAAGGUCUCGUCCUAGUAUUCGGACUAUUUCUAGCUUACGAAACGAGAAGUAUAAAAGUCAAACAGAUCAACGACUCCCGUUACGUUGGGAUGUCAAUUUACAAUGUUUUCGUAUUUUGCAUUAUUACUGCGCCUGUCACGUUAGUGAUCUCAACCCAGCAAGACGCCAGUUUUGCAUUCAUGGCGCUAUCGUUAAUUUUCUGCUGCUUCCUAUCCAUGGCUCUCAUUUUCGUGCCGAAGGUGAUAGAGGUUAUAAGACAUCCGAGAGACAAGUCGGAUUCAAAAUACAAUCCAGAUUUUGGAAUGUCCAAGGAGGAUGAAGAUCGAUAUAAUAAACUAUUAAUGGAAAACGAAGAAUUACAAAAAUUAAUUGCCCAGAAGGAAGAGCGCAUUCAUUUGCUGAAGCUUCGCCUGGCUGAGAGGGAUGCACUGAAAGGCGAAGACGGUUACAAAGGAGGCCUCGCGGAUACUUCUAAUUUGCUCACGCCAAGAAAAAAAUAAAUCAGCACUAAGGGACUAAGGCAUUCUAAAAUAUAAUAAAAACCCAUUCUAAUUUAUAAAAUCUACUUACUGCAAAAGUGGGACAUCUGCACGCAGGAACUGAAGUCAGAUUGAACGAUUUGCGUUCCUCUUUUGUUCAAUCAGAUUCCCUCGCAAAAAGCGUUUGACUCUAUACGGUAAAAUCUCGUUGUGGAUGUUCACUUUUCCACGACUGCCUCCUGUUCUUCUCCAGUAUUUGUAAGGAAAUACCACCGUUUAUUCGUUAUUGUACUUUUCGCAGUUAGAAAAAAUGUAUGAUAUUAGUGUAAAUAAUUGAUUGACGAGGUGCUUUUAGAAGUCCGGUACCUAAAUCAUAACUGUGAUGAAAGAAAUAAUGACCUCAUGAUCGAAACCAACUAAUUAGGUAGGUAUAGACAUUGACUGUCGAAGAACCAUUUCUUCUCACGUUCAGUUCUUAAUCCAAUUGUUAAUUUUCCUUCAGAUCAAGAAUAUCGAUCAAAAAUAUUGCAUUACAUAUCUGAAGCUCGUUGGUUCCUCCCACACGGAGAAAAACACUUCGUGCAUGGGACCUGAAGUUGAGGUCAUAUGGAUCUCUG
Non-coding RNA from Bemisia tabaci, 3248 nucleotides. The record is from RefSeq and is a predicted model, not a curated record. NCBI's taxonomy places the organism in Eukaryota, Metazoa, Arthropoda, Insecta, Hemiptera, Aleyrodidae.